UACGUAGGGGGCAAGCGUUGUCCGGAAUCAUUGGGCGUAAAGCGCGUGUAGGCGGCCCGGUAAGUCCGCUGUGAAAGUCCAGGGCUCAACCCUGGGAUGCCGGUGGAUACUGUCGGGCUCGAGUCCGGAAGAGGCGAGUGGAAUUCCUGGUGUAGCGGUGAAAUGCGCAGAUAUCAGGAGGAACACCGAUGGCGAAGGCAGCUCGCUGGGACGUGACUGACGCUGAGACGCGAAAGCGUGGGGAGCAAGCAGG
RNAcentral lists this ribosomal RNA (253 nucleotides) under uncultured bacterium. RNAcentral describes it as "partial 16S ribosomal RNA". It matches the Rfam family "Bacterial small subunit ribosomal RNA", at positions 524 to 776 of the family's 1533-position model. The record is from RNAcentral.